CUGCCCACUGAUAAAUUUUUUAAAGGGCCGCGGUAUCCUGACUGUGCAAAGGUAGCAUAAUCGUUAGUUUUUUAAUUGGAAUCUUGUAUGAAUGGUUUGACAAAAGAAAAUCUGUCUUUAUAAUUAUUUAUUGAAUUUAACUUUUAAGUGAAAAGGCUUAAAUAAAUUAAAAAGACGAUAAGACCCUAUAAAGCUUAAUAUUAAAUUUUUAUUUAAUUAAAUUUUGAAUUAUAAUAAAAAUUUGGUAAAUAAAUUUUAUUUUGUUGGGGUGAUAAUGGUAAAAUGAUUAUUAACUGUUAAUUUUUUUAGACAAAAAUAAGUGAAUAAGUGAUUUAUUAAUAAAGGAUCCUGUAUUAAAGAUUAAAAGUUUAAGUUACUUUAGGGAUAACAGCGUUAUUUUUUUUGAGAGUUCUUAUCGAGAAAAAAGUUUGCGACCUCGAUGUUGAAUUAAAAUAUCUAUAUAAUUGUAGCAGUUAUAUAAGAAGGUCUGUUCGACCUUUAAAAUUUU
RNAcentral lists this ribosomal RNA (508 nucleotides) under Orisarma sinense. RNAcentral's name for it is "Sesarmops sinensis partial large subunit ribosomal RNA". The stretch from base 384 to 508 matches the Rfam family "Bacterial large subunit ribosomal RNA", at positions 2473 to 2597 of the family's 2925-position model. The record is from RNAcentral. Lineage: Eukaryota; Metazoa; Arthropoda; Malacostraca; Decapoda; Sesarmidae.